Molecule: long non-coding RNA, 1017 nt
Filed under: Homo sapiens (human)
Lineage: Eukaryota; Metazoa; Chordata; Mammalia; Primates; Hominidae
Description: non-protein coding lnc-OTOGL-1:9
Source: RNAcentral
GCCCGCCCCAGGAAGAGCGCUCCCGCGAACUGCGGCGGUGGUGGCUGGGCCACCAGAGGGAAGCGGGUGUGGCCCAGGCAGCGGGGGCUGGGACAGACCUGGAAAGGAGGAAGCGGGGAAGGAAGGUUGUCCUGUCGGGCUGGGGGCUCCCGGGAAUCCGGAGGCCAGCAGUGGAACCGCAAGGCUCUACAGGGCAGAUCUGCCUCCCGUGCUGUCUCAGCUACGCCGAGUCGUUGGCUCAGGGCGGAGGAUUUUCCUAUUGGCCGCGUUAUUUGAAUGGAAUGGAGGAUAGGUCGUGAAGUAGGUGCUGCUGGUUGAUCUUUCUAAGGAACUCAGAUGAACUUGGGCAUGUCAGAAUUAAUAACCUUUUAAAAGUGGGGUCUGUGUGGCCGAGGGUUUUAAUGGGUGGAACCAAGCAGAGGGGUUCACCCAAGCCAUCUUUGGGUGCUUCCAUGGGAAAGAAGGAUUUCACUGAGAAUAAUAAGUGACACCAAGGCUCAAAAGAAUGAGAGAGAAGUCUGUUGGUCUCUUGAACAGCAGGGAUUUGCUCACAGAUCUCUGGAAGUAGCCAGAAUGUGACAGGAUCUCAAAAUGAAUGGCUGCUUCAUGGAGGCUGGAACAUAAGCCUGGGACUCCCAGUAGCCAAACAUAGCUGUGCCACAAACAUGGCUGAAAUGUAGCAGUUUGGUGGAUCCGAGGUCAGUCAUUGAAAAUGUAUUGAUUGGCACCUAUUCUUUGUGAAUCAUUAUUCUGGGUUCUGGGGUCACAGGAGCAAAUGAAACAAAUGAAGUACCUGCCAUCAAUGAGCUUACAUUCUAGUAAAGAGGGACAGAAAAUGAAUACAUUUUAAAUGAAUAAAUUCAGAUACCGCUAAAUGUAGUGAAGAAAAAAAUUGGGCUAAAGAGAGCGAAAAACAAUUUCUGAAGUUACUAGCAGUGAAGGGUGGGGGAAGAGAAGAGACGGAUUUAACCAGGAAAGAUCUGAGCUGAGGGUGUAUCCAGGUUUUCUGGAACCUGA